This 498-nucleotide ribosomal RNA is filed under the name uncultured bacterium. RNAcentral's name for it is "partial 16S ribosomal RNA". It matches the Rfam family "Bacterial small subunit ribosomal RNA", at positions 29 to 523 of the family's 1533-position model. The record is from RNAcentral.
AUUGAACGCUGGCGGCAUGCUUUACACAUGCAAGUCGAACGGUAACAGGCCGCAAGGUGCUGACGAGUGGCGAACGGGUGAGUAAUGCAUCGGAACGUGCCCAGUCGUGGGGGAUAACGCAGCGAAAGUUGCGCUAAUACCGCAUACGAUCUAUGGAUGAAAGCGGGGGACCGUAAGGCCUCGCGCGAUUGGAGCGGCCGAUGCCAGAUUAGGUAGUUGGUGGGGUAAAGGCUCACCAAGCCGACGAUCUGUAGCUGGUCUGAGAGGACGACCAGCCACACUGGGACUGAGACACGGCCCAGACUCCUACGGGAGGCAGCAGUGGGGAAUUUUGGACAAUGGGCGCAAGCCUGAUCCAGCAAUGCCGCGUGCAGGAAGAAGGCCUUCGGGUUGUAAACUGCUUUUGUACGGAACGAAACGGUCCUGGUUAAUACCCGGGGCUAAUGACGGUACCGUAAGAAUAAGCACCGGCUAACUACGUGCCAGCCGCCGCCGAAA